UACAGAGGGUGCAAGCGUUGUUCGGAAUUACUGGGCGUAAAGCGCGUGUAGGCGGCUUAUUAAGUCGGACGUGAAAUCCCUUGGCUCAACCAAGGAACUGCGUCCGAUACUGUUAGGCUUGAGUGUCGGAGGGGGUGGCGGAAUUCCUGGUGUAGAGGUGAAAUUCGUAGAUAUUCGGAAGAACACCAGUGGCGAAGGCGGCUCACUGGUCCGGUACUGACGCUGAGGUGCGAAAGCGUGGGGAGCAAACAGG
This 253-nucleotide ribosomal RNA is filed under the name uncultured prokaryote. RNAcentral's name for it is "partial 16S ribosomal RNA". It matches the Rfam family "Bacterial small subunit ribosomal RNA", at positions 524 to 776 of the family's 1533-position model. The record is from RNAcentral.